This 711-nucleotide long non-coding RNA is filed under the name Homo sapiens (human). Its description in RNAcentral is "non-protein coding lnc-UTP23-1:4". Lineage: Eukaryota; Metazoa; Chordata; Mammalia; Primates; Hominidae. The record is from RNAcentral.
AGUUGUAUGUAAGAAAAUAUGAGAUACAAUGGAUCAAAAUGAGUUCUCCAGAGAGGCACCAAAAUUUACUAUGGGAGCAUGGAGGACAAUGAGAUGAUCUCUGCCUGGGGAUGGGGGCACAUUGAUGGAAGUGAGCAGGCGAUCUGAGUGCAGAGGCACAGAAGUCAUCAGGCGGAGGCUGGGAAGCAGGGCUCUCCCAGGUAGUAAGAACAUCCUGCUUAAAAGCCCAGAAAGUAGGACAACAGGUCAGUAACUGAAUUAGCCAAAUAUUCAGAAGAAGGCAGCAUGCCCCAAAUGUCUCCAGUCACAAUUAAGCUACUGGCUUUCCUUCUGCAUGGAACUGGGUUCGUUGCCAAACAUUCCUGUCAAGUGAGGGCAGCUACAAAUUCAGCGUUUCCAAUGGAAAACUCAUGAUUUCCUGCUCUGCUUCCAAGAUCUGGGUAUCAGAGAUCCAUAUAGAAGCCCAGCUUCAGCAACUACCUGGUGGCAAGGAAGAAGAGUCCUCGACACAGACAUCGUAGGUGAACUCCUCCAGAAUGAGAUCAACAGGAUCAGAAAUGCCCUUCCAUUUCCAUUAAGCCCCCCAGUUAAGAACACUGAAUUGGAGUAAGGAAUUAAUGGGAGGAGACCUGUGAAAAUUCCUAUACACUGCUUGAGAAGAAUGGCAGACCAACUAAUUAACUCAUCCAGUAAUUUGUCAUAUUAAAUUAU